GUUUUUUAAUCACAAUUUUUUAAAAUGCUAUUCCAAAGACAGAAUACCACCCUGGGGAUAGGGGGAAGCUGGAGCAGUUUCACAGAGUAAGUCUUUGGAGCUGAACAUUGACAGAUGAGAAAAGCAAUCUCUAUUGAGGACCUACCAUGUGUGGACACUUCUACAUUACACUGUGUCGUAUCAGAACAUCUUUGCAAAACAAAUACUAUCAUCUGCAUUUUACUUACAUGCAACUGAAGUUUACAGAGUUAAG
This 253-nucleotide long non-coding RNA is filed under the name Homo sapiens (human). RNAcentral describes it as "HSALNT0240864". The record is from RNAcentral. Lineage: Eukaryota; Metazoa; Chordata; Mammalia; Primates; Hominidae.